RNAcentral lists this unclassified non-coding RNA (252 nucleotides) under Ascomycota sp. RNAcentral's name for it is "partial contains small subunit ribosomal RNA, internal transcribed spacer 1, and 5.8S ribosomal RNA". The stretch from base 1 to 47 matches the Rfam family "Eukaryotic small subunit ribosomal RNA", at positions 1785 to 1831 of the family's 1831-position model. Lineage: Eukaryota; Fungi; Ascomycota. The record is from RNAcentral.
AAAGUCGUAACAAGGUUUCCGUAGGUGAACCUGCGGAAGGAUCAUUAAUGAGUAAUUGGAAGCAGUCUUUAUAGUAUAAAGGUUGUCUUCCAGUCUCUUUAACCCAAUGGUAAUUUCACUAGUUGCUUUGGCAGUUUGUUUAUUCAGCUGCCAAAGGAAAUAAACAAUGUUGUCCUAUAGUUGGCUGUCAUUUGUCUGAUUAAAUACUUUAAUAGUAAUUUAAAACUUUCAACAACGGAUCUCUUGGUUCUG